GACCUCAAAUCAGACAAGAAUACCCGCUGAACUUAAGCAUAUCAAUAAGCGGAGGAAAAGAAACUAACAAGGAUUCCCCUAGUAACGGCGAGUGAAGAGGGAAGAGCUCAAAUUUUAAAUCUGCCUCGUUUCAAGGUCGAGUUGUAAUUUGAAGAAGCGUUUUCUUGUUCUCGCGGCCGGUAGAAGUUCCUUGGAACAGGGCAUCAUAGAGGGUGACAAUCCCGUCUGUGACCGGUCGUGGGAUCAUCUGCGAUACGCUUUCAAAGAGUCGAGUUGUUUGGGAUUGCAGCUCCAAACGGGUGGUAAACAUCACCUAAGGCUAAAUAUUGGCGAGAGACCGAUAGCGAACAAGUACCGUGAGGGAAAGAUGAAAAGAACUUUGAAAAGAGAGUAAAUAGUACGUGAAAUUGUUGAAAGGGAAACGAUUGAAG
RNAcentral lists this ribosomal RNA (431 nucleotides) under Entrophospora drummondii. RNAcentral describes it as "eukaryotic LSU rRNA". It matches the Rfam family "Eukaryotic large subunit ribosomal RNA", at positions 1 to 428 of the family's 3401-position model. The record is from RNAcentral. Lineage: Eukaryota; Fungi; Glomeromycota; Glomeromycetes; Entrophosporales; Entrophosporaceae.